CUUUAAAUUGAAGCAAUUACUUUUUCUAUGUAAUUACUAAUAUGUUUAUGAUAGAAGUUCAUUGAAAUGUAUAGACUUUUGGGUCUUAGUCACUGCUUAGUGUAUUAAUAGAACUGUGUGGUGACUUUUUUGUAAAUUCUUUUUUGUUUUGGAGGCUUUCGGUCCAGCCCAGCCUCGAAUUCACUGAGAUCCCCCUGCCUCUGCCUCCCGAGUGCUGGGAUUAAAGGCGUGCGCCACCACCACCCAGCUGUAAAUUCUUUAUAAUAAAGUGAUUUCAUUAAGAAAGAAUAUGAUUAAACUAAUUGUAUUAUAUUUCAUUAUAUUCAUUUCCCUUCGUUACAUCAUUUAAAAUUAAUUUAGAUAUAUUGAUCCCCCUUAAUUUGCUUGUGAAUUAUACCUUCCUCUCUCUCUGUUCUCUGUCUCUCUGUUCUCUGUGUCUCUCUGUACUCUCUCUCUCUCUCUCUCUCUCUCUCUCUCUCUCUGUGUGUGUGUGUGUGUGUGUGUGUGUGUGUGUGUGUGUGAAGGUCUCCUGUACCUAAGGUUGGUCAUGAACUUACUACAUAACCGAGGAUAACCUCAAGUUCUAAUCCUCCUGCCUUUACUUUCUGAAUGCAGAGAUUGCAUGUGUGAGUCACAAUACCCAAUGAAUGCAGUAUUGAGGACUGAAAGCAAGGCUUCCUGCAUACUUGACUGGUUCUCCUAACUGAGGCUACCCGGGGACUUAGACACUUCGGCUUUAAUCUCCUACUGUUGGAAGUGAAGGAUUUCCCCAUCAAGAAGUGCUACAGACACCUAAGAGAGUCACGAAGUCCAAGAUUUCAUCUAUUCACACUUCCAGAGGAGCAAAUGACUGAGACAGCUGAUGGAUCCUUGUCACUCGCUGAAUGUAGAUAUGGUCAGAAUACAUGAAAGUUAUGUAUAUAAUUAUGUAUAUGCCAGAACAGCCUUCUGAAGUUUUGCAAGUUAACUUCAUAGUCUUCUGAGUCUACUUCCUAAAAAUAAGAAUAUUGCCUUAUUUAGAAGCAAACUUUAAAGUGACACUUUUUCUAAUUUUCCUCUAUAUUCUAAUUUAGUUGUUGACCCAGUGGUACCUUUUAUGCCAUUAUUUUCUCUCUAAUAUAAGACUCAUCUUAGGAUCACAUUUUGCAUAAUCUCUUUGGUCUCCUUUAUGAUGGGGUUUUCUGGGAAGCUUUUCUUUGUCUUUGAUAACACUAAUAUUUUUGAAACUAUAUUUCUAGUCUUAAUAAUAAAAAAGCCUUUGCCUUGUCUGUGUGAUGUUUCCAAAUGAGUCUGUAGCUAUGUGUAUUGUUUCAAACAGUAAGUAAAUGCAACCAUGUUCUUCCCAGUGUCACAUGUGGAGGCAACUUACACCUACCCCUCCUCAAUGCUAAUUUUAGUUCAAUUGCUUGGAUAAUUACUGAAUCUCACUACCAAAUGGUUACCAGUUUUUCUCUUAUAAUAGUAGUAAGAAAUGUGUGGGGACAUAACAUAUUGCAAAUAUAAUAUACAAGAGGAAUGAUGUUUAAAUAAG
Molecule: long non-coding RNA, 1531 nt
Organism: Mesocricetus auratus (golden hamster)
Lineage: Eukaryota; Metazoa; Chordata; Mammalia; Rodentia; Cricetidae
Exons: 4
Source: RefSeq, a predicted model, not a curated record